This 253-nucleotide ribosomal RNA is filed under the name uncultured bacterium. RNAcentral's name for it is "partial 16S ribosomal RNA". It matches the Rfam family "Bacterial small subunit ribosomal RNA", at positions 524 to 776 of the family's 1533-position model. The record is from RNAcentral.
GACAGAGGAUGCAAGCGUUAAUCGGAAUGAUUGGGCGUAAAGCGUGUGUAGGAGGCUGUUCAAGUCAGCCGUGAAAUCCCAGGGCUCAACCCUGGACAGGCGGUGGAAACUAGCAAGCUGGAGUACGGUAGGGGCAGAGGGAAUUUCCGGUGGAGCGGUGAAAUGCAUUGAGAUCGGAAAGAACACCAACGGCGAAAGCACUCUGCUGGGCCGACACUGACACUGAGAGACGAAAGCUAGGGGAGCAAAUGGG